This 100-nucleotide microRNA precursor is filed under the name Marmota monax (woodchuck). The record is from RNAcentral. Lineage: Eukaryota; Metazoa; Chordata; Mammalia; Rodentia; Sciuridae.
AGUGGAAAUAGCUGGGUCAGAUGGUUGCAUUCCAAGUUUUCUGAGGAAUCUCCGUACUGCUUUCCAGAGUGGUUCACCAAUUUGCAGUUCCACCAGCAAU